RNAcentral lists this ribosomal RNA (423 nucleotides) under uncultured Chlorophyta. RNAcentral describes it as "bacterial SSU rRNA". It matches the Rfam family "Bacterial small subunit ribosomal RNA", at positions 56 to 523 of the family's 1533-position model. Lineage: Eukaryota; Viridiplantae; Chlorophyta. The record is from RNAcentral.
UGCAAGUCGUCGAACAUCUUUUAGAUGUGCUAGUGGCGGACGGGUGCGUAACGCGUAAGAACCUACCUUAGGUGAGGGAUAACAUCGGGAAACUGAUGCUAAUACCUCAUACAGCUGAGGAGUGAAAGAUAAAACCGCCGAAAGAGGGGCUUGCGUCUGAUUAGUUAGUUGGUGAGGUAAAGGCUUACAAGACCACGAUCAGUAGCUGGUCUGAGAGGAUGAUCAGCCACACUGGAACUGAGACACGUCCAGACUCCUACGGGAGGCAGCAGUGAGGAAUUUUCCACAAUGGGCGAAAGCCUGAUGAGCAAUGCCGCGUGAAGGAAGACGGUCUGUGGAUCUUAAACUUCUUUUAUCAGAGAAGAUCAAUGACGGUAUCUGAUGAAUAAGCUCCGGCUAACCCUGUGCCAGCAGCCGCGGUAA